GAUGAACGCUGGCGGCGUGCCUAAUACAUGCAAGUCGAGCGAACGGACGAGAAGCUUGCUUCUCUGAUGUUAGCGGCGGACGGGUGAGUAACACGUGGAUACCCUACCUAUCAGACUGGGAUAACUUCGGGAAACCGGAGCUAAUACCGGAUAAUAUUUUGAACCGCAUGGUUCAAAAGUGAAAGACGGUCUUGCUGUCACUUAUAGAUGGAUCCGCGCUGCAUUAGCUAGUUGGUAAGGUAACGGCUUACCAAGGCAACGAUGCAUAGCCGACCUGAGAGGGUGAUCGGCCACACUGGAACUGAGACACGGUCCAGACUCCUACGGGAGGCAGCAGUAGGGAAUCUUCCGCAAUGGGCGAAAGCCUGACGGAGCAACGCCGCGUGAGUGAUGAAGGUCUUCGGAUCGUAAAACUCUGUUAUUAGGGAAGAACAUAUGUGUAAGUAACUGUGCACAUCUUGACGGUACCUAAUCAGAAAGCCACGGCUAACUACGUG
RNAcentral lists this ribosomal RNA (497 nucleotides) under uncultured bacterium. RNAcentral describes it as "partial 16S ribosomal RNA". It matches the Rfam family "Bacterial small subunit ribosomal RNA", at positions 28 to 507 of the family's 1533-position model. The record is from RNAcentral.